RNAcentral lists this ribosomal RNA (490 nucleotides) under uncultured bacterium. Its description in RNAcentral is "partial 16S ribosomal RNA". It matches the Rfam family "Bacterial small subunit ribosomal RNA", at positions 30 to 507 of the family's 1533-position model. The record is from RNAcentral.
AUUGAACGCUGGCGUCAGGCCUAACACAUGCAAGUCGAACGGUAACAGGAAGCAGCUUGCUGCUUCGCUGACGAGUGGCGGACGGGUGAGUAAUGUCUGGGAAACUGCCUGAUGGAGGGGGAUAACUACUGGAAACGGUAGCUAAUACCGCAUAACGUCGCAAGACCAAAGAGGGGGACCUUAGGGCCUCUUGCCAUCGGAUGUGCCCAGAUGGGAUUAGCUAGUAGGUGGGGUAACGGCUCACCUAGGCGACGAUCCCUAGCUGGUCUGAGAGGAUGACCAGCCACACUGGAACUGAGACACGGUCCAGACUCCUACGGGAGGCAGCAGUGGGGAAUAUUGCACAAUGGGCGCAAGCCUGAUGCAGCCAUGCCGCGUGUAUGAAGAAGGCCUUCGGGUUGUAAAGUACUUUCAGCGGGGAGGAAGGGAGUAAAGUUAAUACCUUUGCUCAUUGACGUUACCCGCAGAAGAAGCACCGGCUAACUCCGUG